GAUGAAGAACGCAGCGAAAUGCGAUACUUGGUGUGAAUUGCAGAAUUCAGUGAAUCAUCGAAUCUUUGAACGCACAUUGCGCCCCUUGGUAUUCCAUGGGGCAUGCCUGUUCGAGCGUCAUUUGUACCUUCAAGCUCUGCUUGGUGUUGGGUGUUUGUCUCGCCUCUGCGUGUAGACUCGCCUCAAAACAAUUGGCAGCCGGCGUAUUGAUUUCGGAGCGCAGUACAUCUCGCGCUUUGCACUCAUAACGACGACGUCCAAAAGUACAUUUUUACACUCUUGACCUCGGAUCAGGUAGGGAUACCCGCUGAACUUAAGCAUAUCAAUAAGCGGAGGA
This 337-nucleotide unclassified non-coding RNA is filed under the name soil metagenome. RNAcentral describes it as "partial contains 5.8S ribosomal RNA, internal transcribed spacer 2, and large subunit ribosomal RNA". The stretch from base 1 to 120 matches the Rfam family "5.8S ribosomal RNA", at positions 35 to 154 of the family's 154-position model. The record is from RNAcentral.